UUUUCAAUGUAACUAUCUAGGAACUAGUAUAAUGCAGCAUUAUCUGACUGAUUUUAGAUGACUGUGGGGGAGAUAAUCAUGCCUUACCAAUCUUUCCUGCUUUUUGUUGGUGAAGGCAACCAACGAUGACUAAUUCAAAUGUCAACGUUUACACUGCAGAUGUUUACACUUGACCAAGAAACUCCUACUCAUGGAGACCUAAGUCCAACCACCAAAGUGUGAAAAAGAGUGAGACUAGUUCUGAUUGUAACAUCAAUCAGAUAAGGAGACAAGGACACAGGUACAACCAUCACCUCUAAAGGGCUAAUCUUUGUGUGGUGCGUGUCGAUUCCCAUUUCACAAUACCCACAUGUCACCUGGGGUACUCACAGGUCUACAGUCCAGAAGGGAAAUUACAAGUACCUCGUCAGACUGCACAUAUGCCAUGUGCUGCAGGACUUCCCAUGCUGGUGCUGGUGUUUCAAAUGCCACUGAGGAUUGACUUAAAGGCAAUGAGUGAAAGAAAAUCUAGAUCCCUGGAUGUUUUUGUUGUAAGCCCUCCAGUUUAAAAAUGGUCUUUUUCGUCAAGGUUGAAUGCAUUUAUUUUCUGCAUCCAGGAUUGUAAUUUAUUUGUUUUGUUUUUGUCUGCUAUAACACUCUAACAUCACAAAUCUUCCAUUCAGAUAUUUCUAAAUCUUAAUUAGAAUUCCUUAAAUU
This 696-nucleotide long non-coding RNA is filed under the name Anas platyrhynchos platyrhynchos (common mallard). Its description in RNAcentral is "lncRNA (ENSAPLG00000031179.1)". Lineage: Eukaryota; Metazoa; Chordata; Aves; Anseriformes; Anatidae. The record is from RNAcentral.